GGCCCUGUAGCGCAGUUGGUUAGCGUGCCGCCCUGUCACGGCGGAGGUCGCGGGUUCAAGUCCCGUCAGGGUCGCA
RNAcentral lists this transfer RNA (76 nucleotides) under Rathayibacter tritici. RNAcentral's name for it is "tRNA-Asp". It matches the Rfam family "tRNA". From Rfam's summary of the family: Transfer RNA (tRNA) molecules are approximately 80 nucleotides in length. Their secondary structure includes four short double-helical elements and three loops (D, anti-codon, and T loops). Lineage: Bacteria; Bacillati; Actinomycetota; Actinomycetes; Micrococcales; Microbacteriaceae. The record is from RNAcentral.